GACGAGCGCUGGCGGCGUGCCUAAUACAUGCAAGUAGAACGCACAGUUUAUACCGUAGCUUGCUACACCAUAGACUGUGAGUUGCGAACGGGUGAGUAACGCGUAGGUAACCUGCCUGGUAGCGGGGGAUAACUAUUGGAAACGAUAGCUAAUACCGCAUAAUAUUGAUUAUUGCAUGAUAAUUGAUUGAAAGAUGCUAUUGCAUCACUACCAGAUGGACCUGCGUUGUAUUAGCUAGUAGGUGAGGUAACGGCUCACCUAGGCGACGAUACAUAGCCGACCUGAGAGGGUGAUCGGCCACACUGGGACUGAGACACGGCCCAGACUCCUAUGGGAGGCAGCAGUAGGGAAUCUUCGGCAAUGGACGAAAGUCUGACCGAGCAACGCCGCGUGAGUGAAGAAGGUUUUCGGAUCGUAAAGCUCUGUUGUAAGAGAAGAACGGGUGUGAGAGUGGAAAGUUCACACUGUGACGGUAUCUUACCAGAAAGGGACGGCUAACUACGUG
RNAcentral lists this ribosomal RNA (505 nucleotides) under uncultured bacterium. RNAcentral's name for it is "partial 16S ribosomal RNA". It matches the Rfam family "Bacterial small subunit ribosomal RNA", at positions 28 to 507 of the family's 1533-position model. The record is from RNAcentral.